RNAcentral lists this unclassified non-coding RNA (183 nucleotides) under uncultured Cortinarius. Its description in RNAcentral is "sequence contains ITS2". The record is from RNAcentral. Lineage: Eukaryota; Fungi; Basidiomycota; Agaricomycetes; Agaricales; Cortinariaceae.
AUAUAUAUCAACCCUUCUCUUUUUGAAUGGUUUGGAUGUGGGGGUUUGCUGGUCUCUUAUAGGGUUCAGCUCUCCUGAAAUGCAUUAGCAGAACAACCUGUUCAUUGGUGUGAUAACUAUCUACGCUUUUGAAUGUAAAGGGACAGUUCAGCUUUCUAACCGUCUUUGGACAAUCUAUCAUUU